Molecule: ribosomal RNA, 863 nt
Filed under: uncultured archaeon
Lineage: Archaea
Description: bacterial SSU rRNA
Rfam family: Archaeal small subunit ribosomal RNA
Source: RNAcentral
UGGGAGUGGCACACUGCUCAGUAACACGUAGCUAACCUACCCUUAGGACGUGGAUACCCCCGAGAAAUUGGGGUUAAUCCGCGAUAGAUGUAAUGUCCUGGAAUGGUAUUACGUCUAAAGGUAUUUCAUACAUGUUUGAAAUAUGCCUAAGGAUGGGGCUGCGGCCGAUCAGGCUGUUGGUGAGGUAAUGGCUCACCAAACCUUUGACCGGUACGGGCCAUGAGAGUGGUAGCCCGGAGAUGGACACUGAGACAAGGGUCCAGGCCCUAAGGGGCGCAGCAACCGCGAAACCUCCACAAUGCACUCACGUGCGAUGGGGCUAUCUCGAGUGCCACCUGAUGAAGGUGGCUUUUCCUUGGUCUUCAAAGCCUUGGGAAUAAGAGGGGGGCAAGACUGGUGUCAGCCGCCGCGGUAACACCAGCCCCUCGAGUGGUGGGGAUGAUUAUUUGGCCUAAAGCGUCCGUAGCCGGCCGUGAAAGUCUUCCGUUAAAUCCAGCGUCUCAAGCGUUGGACCGCGGGAGAUACUACAUGGCUAGAGAGUGGGAGAGGUCAGCGGUAUUCUGGGGGUAGGGGCGAAAUCCUUUGAUCCCCGGAGGACCACCAGUGGCGAAGGCUGCUGACUAGAACACGUCUGACGGUCAGGGACGAAAGCUGGGGUAGCGAACCGGAUUAGAUACCCGGGUAGUCCCAGCCGUAAACGAUGCAUGCUAGGUGUUGGGUUGGCCACGAGCCACCCCAGUGCCGCAGGGAAGCCGUUAAGCAUGCCGCCUGGGAAGUACGAUCGCAAGAUUGAAACUUAAAGGAAUUGGCGGGGGAGCACCACCAGGCGUGAAGCCUGCGGUUUAAUUGGAUUCAACGCCGGG